ACCAGGAAGCCUUGCCUGCCAUGCCAACUUCAACAGUCUAGAGAGGGGGCUUGCCAUCAUCAGUUUGGAGGUGAGGACGCUGUGGUUCAGAGAAGUGAGGUGGCUUCUCCGAGGUCACACAGUCCAGUGAGAGAGCUACGAUUUAAACCAGGUCCGUCUUAAUCCACUGAAUGUGCUAUAUCAGGAGAGAAAGGUAUGCUGGAGUGCAAAUUUGGAGUGGGCAUAUUUGUGGCCUCCUGAAGGGAACAAGUGGCUAGAGGAGCUGCAGAGCUCUGCGGGGCUUGAAAGGUGUCCAUAACCUUCCAUUAUCCACCUUGACCAGGACAGAAGCAUUAGUUCAUGGGAGAGCAGAAUUUGGUUCCUGCAGAGUUUAUCAAUUCUUAUAAUUAUCCAGAAUGACUCAUGUUGCGGCCAAACCAAGUGCCUUCUGCAAACGGGCCAUCCAGACCAGGGUUGAGUCAGCUGCGUCAGUGGGAGCCACACGGGGCUUGUGGCCAUGGUCAAGGCAAAUAUGUAGGUUUGUGGUCAAGGCCUUCUAGCAGGCAUGAGAAAUAUGGGGAAGUCAUGGGAGCACUUCAUGCUUCAGAACUAAAGGGAGGGAUUAGGAAGACAGAGCAGCAGAAGCAGGAGGUGAGCACUGGGGCAUAUGCAGUGCGUGUGGGUGUUUGGGGUGCUUGUUUCCAUGUGGGCACUACUUCUAUUGGAAUGAUAGUUCCACCUCUUUCCUUAUGCCUUGCUCAUCCCUUACUCUGUUAUUUCUGCCACACCUACCGAAAUCUGCUCUUAUAGUACAAAAACAGCCUAGACUAUAUGUAUAUGAAUGAGUAUGGCUGUGUUCCAAUAAAAUUUUUAUGGUAUUGUUUUAGUACUUUCCAGCUGCUAUAACAAAACACCAUCAACUGAGUGACUUAUAAACAACCAAAAUGUACUGUACAGUUCUGGAGGCUGGGAAGCCCAAGGUCAAGGAACAAGCAGGUUCAGUGUCUGACGACGGCCUGCUUCCUGGUUCAUAGAUGGUUGGUUUUUUUUCUUGCUGUGUCCUCACAUCAUGGAACAGGAAAGGCAGCUCUCUGGGGCUUCUUUUAUUUAUUCAUUUUGUUCGUUUUCCUUUUUAGAGAUAGAGUCUUGUUCUUUCACCCAGGCUGGAGCACAGUGGUGUGAUCAUCACUCACUGUGGCCUUGAACUCCCAGGCUCAAGCAGUCCUCCUUCCUCAGCCUCCUGAGUAGCUGGGACUGCAGGUGUGCACCACCACACCUGGCUUGGGCCUUCUUUUAUAAGGGCACUAAUCUCAUUUAUGAGGGCUCCACUCUCAUAACCUAAUCAUCUUCCAAAGACCCUACCUCUUAGUACCAACACAGAGGUGAUUAGGUCUUCAACAUGUGAAUUUUCAGGGAUACAAAUAUUCAGACCUAGGCCCCAGGCAGCUUCUGAAUUAGCAGCCUGCAACAGAUUGGAAUUCCUGGGGGACUUCACUUAACCCUCAGUUCUCCCAAACCAGUUUUCAAUGCACUGUUGCGUGGGGGCUCCUUGUUGCACCCAGCUGUGUGGCAGAUGUGCUUUUUGUAUCCUGGGAAGUAGCAGGAGGGUUUGGGGUAGGUCAAAAAGUUAAAAUGUCAAUGUUCUGAAGGGUGAUGGGAGUAGAAACUUGGUGAUAUGAAAGACGAUUUGAAUUUAGAUUCUUAAAAAAAGAAUAAAAGCAUUCUUUUAUAUAUCUGCAAUAGAUAACAAUUAAAUAAGUCACACAUGAAUCAUCAAAAUUAGAGUGAGGGCAACGACCUCUGGGGCUUGAAAGGUGGCCAUAACCUUCCAUUAUCCAUUCAUUACCAUAGCAGGUACUGAAAUUUGAAUUUUAUAUAAUUUUCACUUGUCACAAAAUAGUCUUCUUGUGGAUUUUUUCAACCAUUAUAAACAUAUAAAAACCAAUCUUAAUUCAUAGCUGUACAAAAACAGGUGGUAGGCUGGGUUUGGCCACAGGCUGUAGUUUGCUAACCCUUGAUUUAGGCAAUAGUCAGGUCGCCUCUAGCUAGAAAACUUCUUAGAUCAUUGAUCUCAUCAAAUACGUAUUGGUUUUAAAUGUAAUUAUUAGGAACAAACUUAUUUUCAAUUGGUAAGGUGUAUUACACUUUGUUGUCUCUCUUUUCCAUGCCUCCUUCCCACUAUGUAAUAGCUAUACCUAUCUUGUAGUCCUAUAUACCUUAUAUGUGAGGGCUAAAUGACAUAACAUAGUGCCUGGUGCCUAGUCAUAUGAGUUUUCACUUCCCUUUUCUUCUAAGGUUUUGCUUGGAAUCUGCCAUCAGCAAUGCCGAGGCCUGGCCUUGGUGGAAAUGGAGGUGCUGCUUAACUUUUCUUCCAAAACAUAGUACAACCCUAGUCAUCCUGGUGAGUAACAAGAUUGCUCCAUAAUCCAACCCAGUGAGUAAUCCCUUUUGCUGAUGGUGAGUGGUAUGGAGAGAAAAACAUGAAAGUGCACUGUGGAAAUAAUGCCAGUAGCUCCCACCAGAAAUCCCUUAGGCUGUGCCUAUUAGAGCUAGGGUACACAUCUAGAAAAUGCCCCUUUCUUUAUCAGUACCCAACAUAUAGGACCUGUUAACCCUGCUCAUGCUUUAUGUACACAUUGAAUGUUUAUCUGGCUCUUGAUGCCAUCUCAAGAAAGAGACUCAACACCACAAAAUACUUAAGAGAAAUGUAUAUGAUAUGGUUUGGCUGUGUCACCAUCCAAAUCUCAUCUUGAAUUGUAGCUCCCACAAUUCCCACGUGUUGUGGGAGGGACUUGGUAGGAGAUAAUUGAAUCUUGGGGGCAGUUCCCCCAUACUGUUCUCAUGGUAGUGAAUAAGUCUCAUGAGACCUGAUGAUUUUGUAAGGGGUUUCCCCUUUCGCUUGGUCCUCAUUCUGUCUUGCCUGCUGCCAUGUAAGACGUGCCUUUCGCCUUCUGCCUUGAUUGUGAGGCCUCUCCAGCUAGAUGGAACUGUGAGUCCAUUAAACCUCUUUUUCUUUAUAAAUUACCCAGUCUCAGGUAUGUCUUUAUUAGCAGUGUGAGAACAGACUAAUACAAUAUAUUUUACUGAAGAUAUUGUGAACAUCAACAGGAAGAAUCCACAAUGCAUUUCACACUGCAAAAAUACAGUAAAACACCCCCAUUACACAUAUUUCUUGAUUUUCAAAAAGCAUUUUUCUUUACCAGCUUUCUUAUCUCCCUUUCUUUUCUUGCUUCAAAACACUCUAUUCUCUGAGCAAUUCAGCUCAGUGUUUCUUGUUCUAACAGAGCAUUCUGCAAGGAUCAUGUUCCUUCUUCCACAUAUUCAUCCUUUAGAUGUUUCUUUCAUGAGAAGCUAUGAGUGGUAAACUGUCUUGGUUAUUGUUUCACCAAAAUGUUUUUAUUUUGCUAUCAUUCUUGAAAGGUAACAUUUCUGAGGACACAGUUCCAGAUUGACAAUUAUUUUUUUCAGCCUUUGAUGACAUGAUUCCAUUGUCUUUGUGCUUUGUUAUUUCUGACAGAGGUCUGCUGUCAGACUAUAGUCAUUUUGUAGUAGAUGAGCUAUCUUUCAUUUCAUGUGACUUAAACCAUUUUCUCUUUUGCUUUGGUGUUUUACAGUUUCACCUGAUGUGCCUAGUGUGUGUGACUAUUAUUAUUAUUAUUAUUAUCAUUUUUUGAGAUAGGGUCUCACUCUGUCACUCAGGCUGGAGUGCAGUGGCAUGAUCUAGGUUCACUGCAGUCUUGACCUCCUGGGCUCUAGUGAUCCUCCCACCUUGAGACCCUGAGUAUUUGGGACCACAGGCACAUGCCAUCACACCUGGCUAAUUUUUAAAUUUUUUUGUAGAGCUGAGAUCUCAUUAUGUUGCCCAGGCUGAUCGCAAACUCCUGAGCUCAAGCAAUCCUCCUGCCUCAGCCUCCCAAAGUGCUGACAUUACAGGUGUGAGCUGAGGUGCGUAGCUAUAUUUGGAAAUUUGUCCUGCAUUAUUCUUCCUGUCUCUGAGGAUUCAUGUCAUUCAUUAGUUCUAGAAUUUCCUUAGCCACUUUCUUUUUGGAAUGUCUCUCCCAUUGUUUCUAUUCUUUCUUCUGGGACUCCGGGUGUAUGUUAGAACUUCUCAUUCCUCCCUUUUUCUUACUCAUUGUAUUCUCUCAUCUUUUUCUUGCUGCAUUCUGAGUGUUUUCUUAAGAUCUGUCUUCAGUUCACAAAUUCUUUAGUCAUUCAUGUUUAUUUUGCUGCUUCACUUAUCUAUUAGUUUAUUUAUCUUUGCAUUCAUUCAUCUAUGUAUCUUUCAUCUACACAUGUACACGCAUAUAUAUGUAGUUUAAUGCAUGUUAUUUUAAUUAGAUAUAGU
This 4324-nucleotide long non-coding RNA is filed under the name Homo sapiens (human). Its description in RNAcentral is "HSALNT0347183". Lineage: Eukaryota; Metazoa; Chordata; Mammalia; Primates; Hominidae. The record is from RNAcentral.